This 762-nucleotide unclassified non-coding RNA is filed under the name Hevea brasiliensis (rubber tree). The record is from RNAcentral. Lineage: Eukaryota; Viridiplantae; Streptophyta; Magnoliopsida; Malpighiales; Euphorbiaceae.
GUUCCUAUAUGAGUUGAUGGCCAUUUGAUUGAUAUCUGGGAAUAGUCUAUUACAUUCUGAAAUGGUAAUUCUGCUUGGUCCGAUAGGAUUACUGGAAUGCAUUCCACAAAGAAGGACUCAUAAAAGCGAAGCGUCCAUGAUGAUUCACCACGUGGAGCCAGGCAAAACUUGGCAUUGCGGAGAUGUUCAAAAUAUUCCUUCUUUCCUAGCUUGUCAGGACCACUGAAUUUCAACUCUGGACAUUCCAACUUUUCUGGGUACUGCUUCGAGAGUUCUAUCAACCGAAGGCGACCCACCUUUCCUUGUGCUCGACCUAAAUAAUUCGCUAGAUGUUUCCUCUUUGACAAAGGCAAAGACUCAACUAUCCUAGAGCCAUGAGUAGUCAUCCCAUCAUCAAUGUUUCCAGGUAUGAUAAUAUCUUUCCAUGUAUUGAAGGCACUAGUGUCUCUUUUAUCUGUGCGAUCCCCCUCAGGGGUAAGUAUUAUAGACCGAUUCAAGUAUGUCGCCCACGAUUUAAAUAAAUGAGCUCCAGCACCACUUGGGAAGACAAAUAUGUGGUUGCGGCCACCGGAUAACCUGAAAUAUGGCAUUUGACUUAGGACCUUCACAUAGGUCUGAUUAAUCUCUUUAUCAUUCAGUCCACCCAUCACUCGAACACACUUAGGAUAAGCAGGCACAAAGAAAAGGUCUGCCUCUUCUUUCUUUCUAGUCCGGAACCUUGACUGUAAAAGCAUCCUAUGUAUCUUAACCUGAGUACCCCAU